CAGCCGUAAACUAUGCGCGUUAGGUGUACUGGUGACCACGAGUCACCGGGUGCCGAAGGGAAACCGUGAAACGUGCCGCCUGGGAAGUACGGUCGCAAGGCUGAAACUUAAAGGAAUUGGCGGGGGAGCACAACAACGGGUGGAGCUUGCGGUUUAAUUGGAUUCAACGCCGGAAAUCUUACCGGGACCGACAGCAACAUGAAGGCCAGGCUGAAGACUUUGCCGGAUUAGCUGAGAGGAGGUGCAUGGCGUAGUCGUGU
RNAcentral lists this ribosomal RNA (260 nucleotides) under uncultured archaeon. RNAcentral describes it as "partial 16S ribosomal RNA". It matches the Rfam family "Archaeal small subunit ribosomal RNA", at positions 748 to 1009 of the family's 1478-position model. The record is from RNAcentral.